This 99-nucleotide small RNA is filed under the name Leptospira meyeri. Its description in RNAcentral is "Flavo-1 RNA". It matches the Rfam family "Flavo-1 RNA". Lineage: Bacteria; Pseudomonadati; Spirochaetota; Leptospiria; Leptospirales; Leptospiraceae. The record is from RNAcentral.
CCUGCGCCAGCGAUUGUAGCGGAAAUCCUUUCCCAAUGAAAUCCAUUUUCAUUUGCAAAAACAAAUUGGGAAAGAUUGGAGCGAAAAGCGCGGUCGGUU